Molecule: unclassified non-coding RNA, 648 nt
Filed under: uncultured Prochlorococcus sp.
Lineage: Bacteria; Bacillati; Cyanobacteriota; Cyanophyceae; Synechococcales; Prochlorococcaceae
Description: partial 16S-23S ribosomal RNA intergenic spacer; may also contain 16S ribosomal RNA and 23S ribosomal RNA
Rfam family: tRNA (bases 305-377)
Source: RNAcentral
UUGUGGAGGAGGACGCCGAAGGUGGGGCUAAUGACUGGGGUGAAGUCGUAACAAGGUAGCCGUACCGGAAGGUGCGGCUGGAUCACCUCCUAACAGGGAGACAACAAAAUGUUUAAUAUUAUUAUUUUGUCACCUUAGGUCGAUCGGUAUCUCACUUUCUUAAUUUAUUAAGAAUUUCAUUUCCUAAGUUUUUCUAGGUCACACCCAUUAUUUUUCCUGGGCCAUUAGCUCAGGUGGUUAGAGCGCACCCCUGAUAAGGGUGAGGUCCCUGGUUCAAGUCCAGGAUGGCCCAUAUCUCUAUGUUGGGGGUAUAGCUCAGUUGGUAGAGCGCCUGCUUUGCAAGCAGGAUGACAGCGGUUCGAGUCCGCUUACCUCCACUGAUUACCACCUCUUCCAUAAUUUUUGGAGAAAGGAAAUUUUUUGAGUUGUGAUCAAAUUCUGAACGAAUCUAGCUUCCUAAUGAAAUCAUUAAGAUGCUGGACUCAUUGAAUUAAUUUCAUUGUUUUCAGAGAACCUUGACAACUGCAUAGAUUAUUUUUAAAGACAAUAAGCAUCUUUGAUGAUGCAGAUUUAUUAUUUGUGCGAAUGCAUUAAUAACAAUUCUAUUAAGCUGAUGCUUCAAUUUUGAAGUUAUUGGUCAAGCUACAA